UACGGAGGGGGCAAGCGUUGUUCGGAAUCAUUGGGCGUAAAGGGCGCGUAGGCGGCCGAUCAAGUCGGGUGUGAAAUCCCUCGGCUCAACCGAGGAACUGCACUCGAUACUGAUCGGCUCGAGUCCGGGAGGGGAUGGUGGAAUUCCCAGUGUAGCGGUGAAAUGCGUAGAUAUUGGGAAGAACACCGGUGGCGAAGGCGGCCAUCUGGACCGGAACUGACGCUGAGGCGCGAAAGCCAGGGGAGCGAAUGGG
This 253-nucleotide ribosomal RNA is filed under the name uncultured bacterium. RNAcentral's name for it is "partial 16S ribosomal RNA". It matches the Rfam family "Bacterial small subunit ribosomal RNA", at positions 524 to 776 of the family's 1533-position model. The record is from RNAcentral.